ACUCCUACGGGAGGCAGCAGUGGGGAAUAUUGCACAAUGGGCGCAAGCCUGAUGCAGCCAUGCCGCGUGUGUGAAGAAGGCCUUCGGGUUGUAAAGCACUUUCAGUAAGGAGGAAAGGUUAGUAGUUAAUACCUGCUAGCUGUGACGUUACUUACAGAAGAAGCACCGGCUAACUCCGUGCCAGCAGCCGCGGUAAUACGGAGGGUGCGAGCGUUAAUCGGAAUUACUGGGCGUAAAGCGUACGCAGGCGGUUUGUUAAGCGAGAUGUGAAAGCCCGGGGCUCAACCUCGGAAUUGCAUUUGAAACUGGCAGACUAGAGUACUGUAGAGGGGGGUAGAAUUUCAGGUGUAGCGGUGAAAUGCGUAGAGAUCUGAAGGAAUACCGGUGGCGAAGGCGGCCCCCUGGACAGAUACUGACACUCAGAUGCGAAAGCGUGGGAGCAAACAGGAUUAGAUACCCUGGUAGACUGUCAU
Molecule: ribosomal RNA, 473 nt
Filed under: uncultured bacterium
Lineage: Bacteria
Description: bacterial SSU rRNA
Rfam family: Bacterial small subunit ribosomal RNA
Source: RNAcentral